UAAACAUAGACAGUUCAUUCACCCCACUGUCCGCCAGGGGAUUACGAGCAUUAGCUUAAAACCCAAAGGACUUGGCGGUGCUUCAAACCCACCUAGAGGAGCCUGUUCUAGAACCGAUAAUCCCCGUUCAACCUCACCCUUCCUUGUUCUUACCGCCUAUAUACCACCGUCGCCAGUUUACCCUGUGAAGGUCUAACAGUAAACACAAUCGGCACAGCCCAGAACGUCAGGUCGAGGUGUAGCGAAUGGAGGGGGAAGAAAUGGGCUACAUUCCCUAAUACUAGGGCACACGAAUGAUAUGCUGAAACGCACAUCUGAAGGAGGAUUUAGCAGUAAGCAGGAAGUAGAGUGUCCUGCUGAAAACGGC
RNAcentral lists this ribosomal RNA (367 nucleotides) under Chaetodontoplus melanosoma (black-velvet angelfish). RNAcentral's name for it is "partial 12S ribosomal RNA". It matches the Rfam family "Bacterial small subunit ribosomal RNA", at positions 801 to 1372 of the family's 1533-position model. Lineage: Eukaryota; Metazoa; Chordata; Actinopteri; Pomacanthidae. The record is from RNAcentral.